This 115-nucleotide non-coding RNA is filed under the name Pseudonocardia sp. Its description in RNAcentral is "SAM-IV sequence". It matches the Rfam family "SAM (S-adenosyl methionine) riboswitch aptamer". From Rfam's summary of the family: SAM-IV is a mRNA element that regulates gene expression via direct sensing of S-adenosylmethionine (SAM or AdoMet). SAM-IV riboswitches share conserved nucleotide positions with the previously described SAM-I riboswitches sequence analysis and molecular recognition experiments suggest that SAM-I and SAM-IV riboswitches share similar ligand binding sites, but have different scaffolds. The record is from RNAcentral. Lineage: Bacteria; Bacillati; Actinomycetota; Actinomycetes; Pseudonocardiales; Pseudonocardiaceae.
GGUCACGAGUGCCAGCGCGAAGCCCCGGCUCGCUGGACGGCAACCCUCCUCCGCGGUGGGGUGCCCCGGGUGAUGACCGGGCCGACGCGACACCCGCAGUCGGCAAGCGCGGAUC